GACGAAGGAUGCAAGCGUUAUCCGGAUUCAUUGGGGUUAAAGGGAGCGUAGGCGGACUUGUAAGUCAGUGGUGAAAUCUGUGGGCUUAACCCACAAACUGCCAUUGAUACUGCAGGUCUAGAGUACAGUUGCCGUUGGCGGAAUAUGACAUGUAGUGGUGAAAUACUUAGAUAUGUCAUAGAACACCGAUUGCGAAGGCAGCUAACGAAGCUGUAACUGACGCUGAGGCUCGAAAGUGCGGGGAUCAAACAGG
This 253-nucleotide ribosomal RNA is filed under the name uncultured bacterium. Its description in RNAcentral is "partial 16S ribosomal RNA". It matches the Rfam family "Bacterial small subunit ribosomal RNA", at positions 524 to 776 of the family's 1533-position model. The record is from RNAcentral.